RNAcentral lists this ribosomal RNA (442 nucleotides) under uncultured bacterium. Its description in RNAcentral is "bacterial SSU rRNA". It matches the Rfam family "Bacterial small subunit ribosomal RNA", at positions 360 to 793 of the family's 1533-position model. The record is from RNAcentral.
AAUAUUGCACAAUGGGCGCAAGCCUGAUGCAGCCAUGCCGCGUGUGUGAAGAAGGCCUUCGGGUUGUAAAGCACUUUCAGCAGUGAGGAAGGCGGAGUCGUUAAUAGCGGCCUCGUUUGACGUUAGCUGCAGAAGAAGCACCGGCUAACUCCGUGCCAGCAGCCGCGGUAAUACGGAGGGUGCGAGCGUUAAUCGGAAUUACUGGGCGUAAAGCGCAUGCAGGUGGUUUGUUAAGUCAGAUGUGAAAGCCCGGGGCUCAACCUCGGAAUUGCAUUUGAAACUGGCAGACUAGAGUACUGUAGAGGGGGUAGAAUUUCAGGUGUAGCGGUGAAAAUGCGUAGAGAUCUGAAGGAAUACCGGUGGCGAAGGCGGCCCCCUGGACAGAUACUGACACUCAGAUGCGAAAAGCGUGGGGAGCAAACAGGAUUAGAUACCCUGGUAG